Molecule: long non-coding RNA, 596 nt
Organism: Gigantopelta aegis
Lineage: Eukaryota; Metazoa; Mollusca; Gastropoda; Neomphalida; Peltospiridae
Exons: 3
Source: RefSeq, a predicted model, not a curated record
UAUAUAGAAAAGGAAUCGACUCAUUGCAUAAAUGCAGUGUUGUUUUGUUGUUUUUAAACUUUAUUGGGACAGUUUGAAAAUCAUAACACGUUAUUGUGCAGCAUAUCGUUAUUGAUAUCCAUAUUAUCUGUCAACUGUUAUUUCCAUUUUACCUGACAAGAGCCGUAUUUGGUAUUUGCUACUAACUGACAACUUCGAUGUUUUGUGAAACGGCUCUAGAUAAAUAGUCUAACUUUCAAAAACAACAAAACAACAUAAUGGACCAUGUUUAUACAAAGUGGCAAUAAUGUUUAGUCUUUUGCUGAUAAAAUAUCCAUUAAAUUGACCACUCCUUGACUUUGAAAAACAAAGGCGAGUGAAAAAUCGCACUCAUCAAAAUGCUAAGAAACCGUUGAAGCAGACGUCAAGAAGAGUUCUAUUUUUCGGCACUGACGUGUACUUGUACAGUAUGCAAGUCACAGUGUCGUGUUUCAGUGUGGCUAGGUUGCCAUAACUCUAGCCUUGAGUCGAUGUUUGCUGGGUUGCCUGUAGUCAAUCAUAGUUUCCAUUAUAUACAGGUGCGCUUACAUCUGGGGAAGGAAUUGGUUUUCUGUGGU